Molecule: non-coding RNA, 29 nt
Filed under: Mus musculus (house mouse)
Lineage: Eukaryota; Metazoa; Chordata; Mammalia; Rodentia; Muridae
Also listed under: 1 other name
Source: RNAcentral
GGGCUGGAGAGAUGGCUCAGCCGUUAAAG